UACGAAGGGGGCUAGCGUUGCUCGGAAUCACUGGGCGUAAAGCGUGCGUAGGCGGUUCGUUAAGUCUGCUGUGAAAGCCCUGGGCUCAACCUGGGAACUGCAGUGGAUACUGGCGAGCUAGAGUGUGAUAGAGGAUGGUGGAAUUCCCGGUGUAGCGGUGAAAUGCGUAGAGAUCGGGAGGAACACCAGUGGCGAAGGCAGUCCCCUGGACCUGUACUGACGCUCAUGCACGAAAGCGUGGGGAGCAAACAGG
This 253-nucleotide ribosomal RNA is filed under the name uncultured bacterium. RNAcentral's name for it is "partial 16S ribosomal RNA". It matches the Rfam family "Bacterial small subunit ribosomal RNA", at positions 524 to 776 of the family's 1533-position model. The record is from RNAcentral.